GUAGGAAUCUACCUGGUAGAGGGGGAUAGCCCGGGGAAACCCGGAUUAAUACCGCAUACGCCCUUAGGGGGAAAGGAGGGGAUCUUCGGACCUUUCGCUAUCAGAUGAGCCUGCGUAGGAUUAGCUAGUUGGUGUGGUAAAGGCGCACCAAGGCGACGAUCCUUAGCUGGUCUGAGAGGAUGAUCAGCCACACUGGGACUGAGACACGGCCCAGACUCCUACGGGAGGCAGCAGUGGGGAAUAUUGGACAAUGGGGGCAACCCUGAUCCAGCCAUGCCGCGU
RNAcentral lists this ribosomal RNA (282 nucleotides) under uncultured Nitrincola sp. RNAcentral describes it as "partial 16S ribosomal RNA". It matches the Rfam family "Bacterial small subunit ribosomal RNA", at positions 117 to 402 of the family's 1533-position model. Lineage: Bacteria; Pseudomonadati; Pseudomonadota; Gammaproteobacteria; Oceanospirillales; Oceanospirillaceae. The record is from RNAcentral.